AUCCAAAUCAUGAAGAGAUUUAUCAUUUGUCUGAUGUAUCU
Small nucleolar RNA from Cercocebus atys (sooty mangabey), 41 nucleotides. Lineage: Eukaryota; Metazoa; Chordata; Mammalia; Primates; Cercopithecidae. The record is from Ensembl.